AGAGUUUGAUCCUGGCUCAGAACGUACGCUGGCGGCACGCCUAACACAUGCAAGUCGAGCGGGGUAGCAAUACCUAGCGGCAGACGGGUGCGUAACAUGUGGGAAUCUGCCUUUUGGUUUGGAACAACAUGGGGAAACCUGUGCUAAUACCGGAUAAGUCCUAACGGAGAAAGUUUUAAUGCCAAAAGAUGAGCCCGCAUUUGAUUAGCUUGUUGGUGAGGUAAAAGCUCACCAAGGCUAUAAUCAAUAGCUGAUUUGAGAGGAUGAUCAGCCACACUGGGACUGAGAUACGGCCCAGACUCCUACGGGAGGCAGCAGUGGGGAAUCUUGCACAAUGGGCGAAAGCCUGAUGCAGCGAUGCCGCGUGAGUGAAGAAGGCCUUUGGGUUGUAAAGCUCUUUUGUCGGGAAAGAUAAUGACUGUACCCGAAGAAUAAGGUCCGGCUAACUUCGUGCCAGCAGCCGCGGUAAUACGAAGGGACCUAGCGUAGUUCGGAAUUACUGGGCGUAAAGAGUAUGUAGGCGGCUAGAUAAGUUAAUUGUGAAAGCCCAAAGCUUAACUUUGGAACUGCAAUUAAAACUAUUUAGCUGGAGUAUGAUAGAGGAAAGCGGAAUACAUAGUGUAGAGGUGAAAUUCGUAGAUAUUAUGUAGAACACCAGUUGCGAAGGCGGCUUUCUGGAUCAUUACUGACGCUGAGAUACGAAAGUAUGGGUAGCGAAGAGGAUUAGAUACCCUCGUAGUCCAUACCAUAAACGAUGAUUAUUAAAUGUGGG
Molecule: ribosomal RNA, 772 nt
Filed under: uncultured bacterium
Lineage: Bacteria
Description: bacterial SSU rRNA
Rfam family: Bacterial small subunit ribosomal RNA
Source: RNAcentral